GAUGAAGAACGCAGCGAAAUGCGAUAAGUAAUGCGAAUUGCAGAAUUCAGCGAGUCAUCGAAUCUUUGAACGCACAUUGCGCCCCUUGGUAUUCCGAGGGGCAUGCCUGUUCGAGCGUCAUUAUAACCCCUCAAGCUCAGCUUGGUGUUGGGGCCUGCUGCACUGGCAGCCCUUAAAAUCAGUGGCGGCGCCAUCUGGCUCUAAGCGUAGUAAUUCUUCUCGCUAUGGAGUCCUGGUGGAUGCUUGCCAUCAACCCCCAAUUUUUCUAUGGUUGACCUCGGAUCAGGUAGGGAUACCCGCUGAACUUAAGCAUAUCAAUAAGCGGAGGA
This 329-nucleotide unclassified non-coding RNA is filed under the name soil metagenome. RNAcentral's name for it is "partial contains 5.8S ribosomal RNA, internal transcribed spacer 2, and large subunit ribosomal RNA". The stretch from base 1 to 120 matches the Rfam family "5.8S ribosomal RNA", at positions 35 to 154 of the family's 154-position model. The record is from RNAcentral.